CUCUAAUUGAUCAUCUGAGGCGAGCCAUGAGUCAGCCACAGGAGCACAGCUGAAGGCAAUUCACCUGUGCUGCUGGAAGGGGUGGAGCAUGGCUCCACCCCUCCUAGACUUAUUUAAGAGCUGGCUACCAGUGGGGAAGGAUCUUGUCUGGAGAUCCCCUCUUCUGAUGUUUUUUGUAGGUGAGCCUGGCAUGUGGUUUUUGCCACUGCUUUUCAAGACAGAGAAUUACUGGAGUAAUAAAAAUGAAGUUGACAUACUGCAAUACAUUAACAGGUUUCUUCAUCUGUGGAUGGAAAAGCACUUGGCACUUUUGAACACAUUGGUUGACAAUGCAAUACUGAAACAGUCACCAAUCCCCAAUACUCUCUAGAAUUUCAAAGAUGUGUUCUAAAUGAGGGCUGAGGAGUGCCUUAGUGCCUUAAUAGUUAGCCUUGUGAAACUGAAAAAAAAAAGUGGAAAGUAAAAGGAAAUGCAUAUCUGAUUUGUACAUGUGUUUUGUAGUACUAGUAAUUUUGAUCUAUCUUUUAAGCAUAUUAAAUUUCUGGGCUAGAGAUUAUCCAUGUCUUGUUUGUAUAGUAAGGAAGAUUACUAAAUGGGAUCUUUAUAUAAAAAUACAGCAUGAAGAUGUAAAAAAGUGUUUUUUGUUGUUCAUUUUGAACAGAAGAUCCCAAGACUUUUACAUGUUACAUACAACAGUAACUGCAACUGUUUUAGAGCAGCAGGGAGGCAUUCCUGAAAUGCUCUGUAAAAUACUUAAAUAAUAUCUGCACUCAGAAUGUAAACAUAGAAAGGAGGCAGCUUAUAGAGAACCUGCAAUUGUUAGCUUAGGAAGCUUAUGCACAUUAUUUUUUCUAUUCUUCAGCAUGAAGACUUGUUAUCACAGUACAAUUCCCAAUUCACAUAAUCUUAUAUUUACAUUUAUAUUCCCAGACUACAUAUAGUCCAGAAGCUUACUAUAAUUGUGUAGGGUGACACUUCUUUUCAUGGGUAGUAAAAUGAAAUGCAUGUUACCUGCUGGUCUGCAGGCUGUAGCAGAUCUGCUAACUGUGAGAAGCCACUGCCUAUGGAAUGAUUAACACUGAGCUUCUUUCUUCGGUGAAAGUAUGCCACGUGUGAAUAACACUGCAGUCUCUUGCCAUGUUACAUCUAAACUUGUAAUCCCACUAUAUCUUAUCUAACAAUAUACUGCAAAACAGUUAAUGAAAUGGAGAGUAUGAUAAUCAGGGUAGU
Molecule: long non-coding RNA, 1230 nt
Organism: Tympanuchus pallidicinctus (lesser prairie-chicken)
Lineage: Eukaryota; Metazoa; Chordata; Aves; Galliformes; Phasianidae
Exons: 3
Source: RefSeq, a predicted model, not a curated record